RNAcentral lists this unclassified non-coding RNA (254 nucleotides) under plant metagenome. Its description in RNAcentral is "partial contains small subunit ribosomal RNA, internal transcribed spacer 1, and 5.8S ribosomal RNA". The record is from RNAcentral.
UUUCCGUAGGUGAACCUGCGGAAGGAUCAUCAACGCAUCUCUGACGGAGGAGGCGCGCCCUGCUCCGGACGGAAAGGCCGUGCAGCGGGCGCCCCCGAGUCGCACAACCAUCGCAAACCCACCGUGCACUCUUGGCGGCGAGGGGCGUAGCGCCCCGAGCCGGGUCGCAAACACCUCAUUUAAAACAGAAUGAUCAGCGGACCUGCGUGCCGCCUAAACUUAAACAACUUUCAACAACGGAUCUCUUGGCUCUC